CCUACGGGAGGCAGCAGUGGGGAAUCUUGCGCAAUGGGCGAAAGCCUGACGCAGCAACGCCGCGUGCGGGAAGAAGGCUUUCGGGCUGUAAACCGCUUUCAGCAGGAACGAAAAUGACGGUACCUGCAGAAGAAGGAGCGGCCAACUAUGUGCCAGCAGCCGCGGUGAUACAUAGGCUUCAAGCGUUGUCCGGAUUUAUUGGGCGUAAAGAGUUCGUAGGCGGUCGAGUAAGUCGGGUGUGAAAAUUCUGGGCUCAACCCAGAGACGCCACCCGAUACUGCUUGACUUGAGUUCGAUAGGGGAGUGGGGAAUUCCUAGUGUAGCGGUGAAAUGCGCAGAUAUUAGGAGGAACACCGGUGGCGAAGGCGCCACUCUGGAUCGAUACUGACGCUGAGGAACGAAAGCAUGGGUAGCAAACAGGAUUAGAUACCCUGGUAGUCCAUGCCGUAAACGGUGGGCACUAGGUGUGGGUUUCUAUUAACGAAAUCCGCGCCGUCGCUAACGCAUUAAGUGCCCCGCCUGGGGAGUACGGUCGCAAGCUAAAACUCAAAGGAAUUGACGGCNGAGACGNGCGAGACGACGACGAGGAGAGG
RNAcentral lists this ribosomal RNA (593 nucleotides) under uncultured bacterium. RNAcentral's name for it is "bacterial SSU rRNA". It matches the Rfam family "Bacterial small subunit ribosomal RNA", at positions 338 to 946 of the family's 1533-position model. The record is from RNAcentral.